CAGUUGUACGGCAGCAUAUAUUUACUUAUUGUUUAUUUUUGAUGGCGAGUAGCGAACGGGUGAGUAAUAUCUGAGAAUCUGCCUUAAGAAGGGGGAUAACUAUUGGAAACGAUAGCUAAUACCGCAUAAUGUUAUAUAUUUUAAUAAUAUAUUAAAUUAUUAUUAUAAUAUUAUAAUUAAAGUAGGGGAUUUAAAUUUAUUUAAACCUUAUGUCUUAAGAUGAGCUCAGACAGGAUUAGUUAGUAGGUAAGGUAAAAGCUUACCUAGACUAUGAUCCUUAGCUGGUCUUAGAGGAUGGCCAGCCACACUGGAACUGAGAUACGGUCCAGACUCCUACGGGAGGCAGCAGUGGGGAAUAUUGCACAAUGGGGGAAACCCUGAUGCAGCUAUGCCGCGUGUAUGAAGAAGACCUUAGGGUUGUAAAAUACUUUCAGUAAGGAAGAAGAUAUAU
RNAcentral lists this ribosomal RNA (451 nucleotides) under Gammaproteobacteria bacterium ectosymbiont of Cassida lineola. RNAcentral's name for it is "bacterial SSU rRNA". It matches the Rfam family "Bacterial small subunit ribosomal RNA", at positions 59 to 456 of the family's 1533-position model. Lineage: Bacteria; Pseudomonadati; Pseudomonadota; Gammaproteobacteria. The record is from RNAcentral.